This 491-nucleotide ribosomal RNA is filed under the name uncultured Pseudoalteromonas sp. Its description in RNAcentral is "bacterial SSU rRNA". It matches the Rfam family "Bacterial small subunit ribosomal RNA", at positions 159 to 649 of the family's 1533-position model. The record is from RNAcentral. Lineage: Bacteria; Pseudomonadati; Pseudomonadota; Gammaproteobacteria; Alteromonadales; Pseudoalteromonadaceae.
ACUGCUAAUACCGCAUAACGUCUACGGACCAAAGGGGGCUUCGGCUCUCGCCCUUAGAUUAGCCCAAGUGGGAUUAGCUAGUUGGUGAGGUAAUGGCUCACCAAGGCGACGAUCCCUAGCUGGCUUGAGAGGAUGAUCAGCCACACUGGAACUGAGACACGGUCCAGACUCCUACGGGAGGCAGCAGUGGGGAAUAUUGCACAAUGGGCGCAAGCCUGAUGCAGCCAUGCCGCGUGUGUGAAGAAGGCCUUAGGGUUGUAAAGCACUUUCAGUAAGGAGGAAAGGUUAGUAGUUAAUACCUGCUGGCUGUGACGUUACUUACAGAAGAAGCACCGGCUAACUCCGUGCCAGCAGCCGCGGUAAUACGGAGGGUGCGAGCGUUAAUCGGAAUUACUGGGCGUAAAGCGUACGCAGGCGGUUUGUUAAGCGAGAUGUGAAAGCCCCGGGCUCAACCUUGGGAACUGCAUUUCGAAACUGGCAAACUAGAGUAU